CUACGGGGAGACCAAUCAACCUCGAAAAGCAGUAACACCACAAAUGAGAACAAAUAAGUGCGAUGACAGUUAAAGAUGUAUUGCCUGUGUAUGACGGGCUCCAUGUUAUUAAAAGGACACCAUCUAGAUAUUUUUCAUUUCAUUCUAUCACCAACCACUUGCUGUUUGUAAUCACCAACUGAGAAGAGGGUUAAUUUGCGGUUCAUGAAAAGGCAAAAUGAGUAGGAUUUAUACUGCAAAUGGCGUUUACUUGCCUUUCUGUAUUGGCUGGAACUUCCAUUAUAAUGUGGAAUAUAGUGUGGUCUCACUAUGUUACCCAGGCUGGAAAGCAGCGGCUAUUCACAGGUGCAAUCAUCGCGCACUGCAGCCUCUAAUUCCUGGGCUCAAGCUAUCCUCCCGCCUCAGCCUCCUGAGUAGCUGGGACUACAGGCAUGCAUCACCAUGCCUGGUUCUGUCUCAGAUUUAAGAAAAUAUUCUAUUACAGCAUAUCUUUGAGUAAUCCUUUCAGAAAAGAUGUGCAGGUGGUAAACUGAUUGAAUCCUUCGCUGAAAAAUGACUAUUUGGUAUCUUCAAAAUUUUAAAGGUCAUUUCCUUUACCUUCUGGCUUCCAGAACUGAUAAGAGUACUGAUGUGAAAUUUGAUUCCAUUCUCAUUCUUGUCCAUUUUUAGGUAAACUGCUUUUUUCUCUGCUUUGGAAGAUAAUAGGAUAUUCUUCUCCUUAUCAAAAAUUCACCAGGACGUGAUCUUUUUCAUAGUUUUUCAUAUUCACCCUGUUUGGCCCUCUUAAUCUGAAGGCUUGCGUGUUUCUUUUGUUGGGGCACAUGUUCAUUCAUUCACUCAUUACGGGCAGGGAUACACUCUGUCGCCUAGGCUGGAGUGUAGUGGUGCAAUCAUAGCUCACUGGAGCCUUGAACUCCUGGGUUCCAGUGAUCCUCCCACUUCAGUCUCCCAAGUGGCUAGGAUGACAAGUGUGUGCCACCAUACCUGGCUAACCCUUUUUGAUUUUUGGUAGAGACAAGGUCUUGCUAUGUUACCCAGGCUGGUCUUGAAACUCCUGGGCUCAAACAAUUCUCCCGCUUUGGCCUCCCAACGUGCUAGGGUUAUGGAUGUAAGCCACCACAUCCAGCAGAAAAUGUUCCUCUAUAAUUUAUUUUCUAAAUUAUUUCUUCCCUUCAUUGUCUUUUCUUUCCUGCCAGAGCUCCUAUGAGAUGAACUGAUCCUUCUAACUUUCCUUAUUUUCUGUCUCUGCCUUUUUGCUUUGUAUUCUAGUUGAUUUCCUUGACCCUUUCUUCCAGAACACUCGAUCAGUAUUCAGCUGUGUCCAUUCCAUUAUUCACCUACUGAGUUAGCAACUAUCAUUACUAUGGGUCUCCUCUCCCCUGGGUGGGCUGACUAAAGUUUUAUUUUUUAUAAGUGGACGAGAUACUAACUGGUUAUGUGGACAUGAAGUUGGAGGCAGGCAGGUAGGAAAUGGCCUUUCCUCCCCACCAGCAAACGUGACACUGGCUUUACCCUGGUGGUGAGGAUCUGAGAAUAUUUUGGAUACUCUCUUGGAUAAAACUAUAUUUCAUCUCAUCUCUGACCAUCCUUGCUUCCUUCACACAAACUCAAACCCUGCUCUGUUCUUGUAGGUCCCCACAUCCACACCAAAACGUCUUUCCCAGGCAAGUGGCUCAUUCUCUUUACAGUUUUAUUCUUAAGUCUCAAAUUAAAUGUGUAUGUUGCCUGCUGUCAGGGGUAAGAUUGGGGAACUAAGGGGCUGGAAGCAGUUAAUUCCCUGAUGACUGUCUUAAGACCCCUACUCAUGCUGUGCUUGAUGUUCUGCCAGAUUGGUUCUUACCAUUAUGGUAGUUUUCCCCCACGAGUGUUUUACCCUGUGAUUUUUAUUUUCUCUGUUAUUGUUUAUCUGCUCCUAUUUGUUUUCUGUCAAUAAUGCCUCAUAAUUUCUGGUCAGCUAAUGGCAUCUGUUCUUAUAUUUUCAGUGUUCAUUCACUAUUAAAGAAUGUAUUUUCUUUUUAAUGGAUCUUUGGACAAAAACAUGUGCUCAGUUCUCUAACUAGCACUAAGCUGUGUGACUUCCCACACUGGUUAAUGCAUGCAUGCCUGUGGGGGAUGAGGAUCUGUUUAUGUACUGCACUAACUUUUAGACAGAUAUAUUUAUGUAUAUUGCGCACAUAUUUGAUCUCAAUAAAUUUAAUCAAGAACUUAAUUUGAUGACCAUUUAAAAUCCAAGCAAAAAAGAGGCAAAAAUGCUUAUCAGAUAUACAUAUAACUACAUGGCUUAAUUUAACAGUUCUGUCUAUAUCUAUUUAUCCAUAGAUACAAUUAUAAUGAUAUAGAAUUAAUCCAGAAGCUAAAGUAGGAUCAUUUUACUCUAUUCUUUUUAUUCUAACUAAUAAAAGAGUAUCUGACAGGCUUUUGGUCCAUGUUCCCAGCAUUUCUGAAGGCUUCUUAUCAAAUAUGCUGUUAUUACCCAUAAUUUUAUGUAUCGAUUUGUAUAAUGUAUUUCAAGGAAAAAAUUCAAUAUCAGCCAUUCUUGUUUCUUUUUUUCUUUUUAUUGAACUACCAAGACUAAUACAGCACAUCACUAAGCAAAAAGUGCUAUUUACUAUGCAAAAGGCACAGUCAGUGAUUGGCAUCUAAGACCAAUUGAUCUACCCAUUACCACUAUCUCCCUACCCCCACAAGCAUUACUAUGAAGCUAUUGAUUUAAACACUGUCGAUCGGUUUCCAUUUUCUGAUUUUGGGCAGGCCAAUCAAGAAAGUGAGUAAUUGUGAUUACACUGCUUCAGGAUCAAUUACAUUUGAUGCAAGACAAAGUGCUCUUUUUGGAACACACACACAAAAUUUUUGAUCUAGCAUGCUGUUGUGCUUAACAAAAUCUAAAAUAAAUAAUUUGUAUCUUUAUAAUAACAAAACAUACUAAUGUAAAUGCUUUUAAUAGUCAAGAACAUUUUCUAUGUGAAAUACAUGAAUUAUUUUCCUAAUGUUAGUUUGAAAGAAAUUUAGAAAAAAUAUUAUUCACAUACACUCCUUGGCAUAAGAUAAAAAUCAAAUACUACCUGCAUAUAUAUCCAUCCUUAAAGAGACUUAGUUAAUUAUGAAAGACAAAAUGCAAAUCCUGUUCAAGAGACUAUAAAGGAAGUCUUUGUAAAUAAAAUUGGGGAAAAAAAUCCAAUUACAUAGGAAUCAAAAGGUUCUUUAUACAAAUUGAUAAGAAAAAGGAAUCUUUUUUAGUUCUUAAUUUUGGUCUAACUUGGUACGUGAGCUUUGUCAUUGGGUUCACAUUGUCCAAAUCAUUAAAAUGAAUAUACCUCUGGUGUCAGAGGCAAAUCUAUUUAGAGUGAUGUUACUCAUAGCCUGUUGUUCAGUAAUAUUGAUCUGUGUUGUUUGUCUAAUAGAAAAAUAAUAAACAAUUACUAGGCAAUGUUGGGAAAAGUAAUCAGUUUUUAUAUAUCACUAAUACAGCAGACCUCCCAAAACAUAAAGGUGAUGAUCUGCAUAAAAUCAAUGUGUUAUGCUACAUUGCUUAUAUUUAUCAUUGCAGGUUCUCGGCAAUAAAAGGUAUAACAUUAGGCCAGAAUUACUGGUAAACUGAAAAGGUAUAUGAAAAUGAAAAGUUCACUAUGUUUAAUCUAUACAUUUAUUUUAAAAUGUCUAUUUCUAAAACUUCAAGACUUUUAAAUCAUAACAAAUUCUGUUCUAAGCUAGCUAAAAUGUAGGUAAAAUGUCUCAAUUCUUUUUAGAAUAAAAACAAAGAAACUUCAACUCAAAAUAGCCAAUUGGGCCUUAUAUCAGAAAAAGAAAAGAGUUCAAAGAUAAUUCUCAAUGAUGCAUGAAUACGGCUUUGUUCUAAUUUGCUAAUAGCCUCUGAAUUUCACAAGAAAUGUAUAAAGCAUUAUAGAAAAACAUUAACAACAAAAUCCAAUCCUAAAAAAGCUCUUCUGAACAGCAUUCAGCUAUGAAACCUUUGCCAACUGCAUAAAUGUUCUCUUUUGACUUUUAUCAAAGCAGUUUGUAAAUGGAUGUAAAAAGGAAAAAAAAAAUGUGUGAGUUUUAGGUACUGAUGGCAUCAAUAAUAUUCCACUUAAGAAUCUCAAGAUAACAUGUAUGUAUAUCUCAAAAGAUAUCUUCUCUGAGCUAUUUAAUAAUAUUAUUAAUGCUUUUAAUUUCUCCUGGAUUUUCCUCAUGAAUUUUCUCAUAAAUUUUCUAAAACUGGAGUGAUAAGUUAAAAAUUACUUAGUAGUAGCUUCUUUCUUUAACCAACAAACCAUGGAUUUCAAUCACAUAUGGCAGGUUGUAAUGGCUAGGUGUGUAACGAAUGCUAAAAAUACAUAUACUACACACAAUUUGUACAACUAUUCCAAGGCAGUCUAAACAUUAUCAAAGCAAAACAUAUUUGUUUAAAUGUUUUGUCUUUCACACACACACAAAAGCUGUUGAAAGCUUAGUUUUUGAUCUGCUAUCCUUUACAGGUUAUAUAAAAAAUAGAAGAACAAUUGAACUUACCACAACUGGAAACUGGCAGUCUGAGUAGAAUCACAAAAGUCAAUACCCAUUGAAACUGUAAUGGAUCCCUCAGGCUCAAGAGAGUCUAGGAAAUAAGAUAAUUUAGACAUGAAAACACAGAGGAUGUGAAAAAGAGGCAAACUAAACACUGAAAAUUUAGGUAAUGUUUGUAGCUUGGUUGAAACUGUGAAAUGUAAUGAUGGCUUAAAAAUUUCAAACUAAGAAUAUUAAAGCAAAUUACAAAGUA
Molecule: long non-coding RNA, 4756 nt
Filed under: Homo sapiens (human)
Lineage: Eukaryota; Metazoa; Chordata; Mammalia; Primates; Hominidae
Description: HSALNT0327520
Source: RNAcentral